UACGGAGGAUCCAAGCGUUAUCCGGAUUUAUUGGGUUUAAAGGGAGCGUAGGCCGACUCUUAAGUCAGUGGUGAAAGGUUGCCGCUCAACGUCUGAAUUGCCAUUGAAACUGACAGACUUGAGUGCGAAUGACGUAGGCGGAAUGCGUGGUGUAGCGGUGAAAUGCUUAGAUAUCACAAAGAACUCCAAUUGCGAAGGCAGCUUACUGGAAUGCAACUGACGCUGAUGCUCGAAAGCGUGGGGAUCAAACAGGAUUAGAUACCCUGGUAGUCCACGCGGUAAACGAUGAAUACCAGCUGUAUGCCACAUAGUGUAUGCGGCACAGCGAAAGCGUUAAGUAUUCCACCUGGGGAGUACGUCCGCAAGAAUGAAACUCAAAGGAAUUGACGGGGGCCCGCACAAGCGGAGGAACAUGUGGUUUAAUUCGAUGAUACGCGAGGAACCUUACCCGGGCUUGAAAUGCAGACGACAAAUGGAGAAAGGCUUUUUCCCUUCGUGGCCUCUGUGAAGGUGCUGCAUGGUUGUCGUCAGCUCGUGCCGUGAGGUGUCGGCUUAAGUGCCAUAACGAGCGCAACCCCUAUGUUUAGUUACUAUCAGGUCAUGCUGAGGACUCUGGACAGACUGCCACCGUAAGGUGCGAGGAAGGCGGGGAUGACGUCAAAUCAGCACGGCCCUUACGUCCGGGGCGACACACGUGUUACAAUGGGGGGUACAAAGGAGUUCGUACUCGGCGACAAGUUAUUCAUUUCAUAAAGCCUCUCUCAGUUCGGAUCGGAGUCUGCAACUCGACUCCGCGAAGCUGGAUUCGCUAGUAAUCGCGCAUCAGCCAUGGCGCGGUGAAUACGUUCCCGGGCCU
This 856-nucleotide ribosomal RNA is filed under the name uncultured bacterium. Its description in RNAcentral is "SSU rRNA". It matches the Rfam family "Bacterial small subunit ribosomal RNA", at positions 524 to 1381 of the family's 1533-position model. The record is from RNAcentral.